ACUCAAUAGAUACCCUGGUAGUCCUGGCCCUAAACGAUGUCUACUAGAUCGUGGCGGCACUGACGCCGUCAUGGUCGAAGCAAAAGUGUUAAGUAGACCGCCUGGGAAGUACGGUCGCAAGGCUAAAACUCAAAGAAAUUGACGGGGGCUCACACAAGCGGUGGAGCAUGUGGUUCAAUUCGAAGCAACGCGAAGAACCUUACCUGGGCUUGACAUGCUAGGAUUAUCUUGAUGAAAGUCGAGUAGGCCCCGCAAGGGGUACAACUAGUACAGGUGCUGCAUGGCUGUCGUCAGCUCGUGUCGUGAGAUGUCGGGUUAAGUCCCUUAACGAGCGAAACCUUUGCCCUUAGUUGCCAUCGGGUUAUGCCGGGCACUCUAAGGGGACUGCCGGUGUCAAACCGGAGGAAGGUGGAGAUGACGUCAAGUCCUCAUGGCCUUUAUGCCCAGGGCUACACACGUGCUACAAUGGCGUCCACAAAGCGAGCCGAGAGCGCAAGCUGGAGGAAAUCGCAGAAAUGACG
RNAcentral lists this ribosomal RNA (521 nucleotides) under uncultured bacterium. Its description in RNAcentral is "bacterial SSU rRNA". It matches the Rfam family "Bacterial small subunit ribosomal RNA", at positions 770 to 1285 of the family's 1533-position model. The record is from RNAcentral.